CUAAGGAAAACCAAUAAAAUCAAUCAUCUUCAGUUUUGAAAGACUUAGGAUAACUAAGUUUUUCUUCGUGACUUCACGAAGGGCCUAUAGCUCAGUUGGUUAGAGCACACGCCUGAUAAGCGUGAGGUCGGUGGUUCAAGUCCAUUUAGGCCCACCAGAGUUAUAGGUGUCGUAAGAACACAAAUUCUUUGAAAAUUAGGUAAAUAAUAGUUAAUUUUCCGG
Molecule: unclassified non-coding RNA, 222 nt
Filed under: Candidatus Phytoplasma citri
Lineage: Bacteria; Bacillati; Mycoplasmatota; Mollicutes; Acholeplasmatales; Acholeplasmataceae
Description: Candidatus Phytoplasma aurantifolia 16S-23S ribosomal RNA intergenic spacer
Rfam family: tRNA (bases 81-154)
Source: RNAcentral